UGAGCUGUGAUGGGGAGAAGACAUUGUGUCUUCGAGUCGUUGAUUUCACACUGCCGAGAAAAGCCUCUAGAUAGAAAAUAGGUGCCCGUACCGCAAACCGACACAGGUAGUCAAGAUGAGAAUUCUAAGGUGAGCGAGCGAACUCUCGUUAAGGAACUCGGCAAAAUGACCCCGUAACUUCGGGAGAAGGGGUGCUCUUUAGGGUUAACGCCCAGAAGAGCCGCAGUGAAUAGGCCCAAGCGACUGUUUAUCAAAAACACAGGUCUCUGCUAAACCGUAAGGUGAUGUAUAGGGGCUGACGCCUGCCCGGUGCUGGAAGGUUAAGAGGAGUGGUUAGCUUCUGCGAAGCUACGAAUCGAAGCCCCAGUAAACGGCGGCCGUAACUAUAACGGUCCUAAGGUAGCGAAAUUCCUUGUCGGGUAAGUUCCGACCCGCACGAAAGGCGUAACGAUUUGGGCACUGUCUCAACGAGAGACUCGGUGAAAUCAUAGUACCUGUGAAGAUGCAGGUUACCCGCGACAGGACGGAAAGACCCCGUGGAGCUUUACUGUAGCCUGAUAUUGAAAUUCGGCACAGCUUGUACAGGAUAGGUAGGAGCCUUUGAAACGUGAGCGCUAGCUUACGUGGAGGCGCUGGUGGGAUACUACCCUAGCUGUGUUGGCUUUCUAACCCGCACCACUUAUCGUGGUGGGAGACAGUGUCAGGCGGGCAGUUUGACUGGGGCGGUCGCCUCCUAAAAGGUAACGGAGGCGCUCAAAGGUUCCCUCAGAAUGGUUGGAAAUCAUUCAUAGAGUGUAAAGGCAUAAGGGAGCUUGACUGCGAGACCUACAAGUCGAGCAGGGUCGAAAGACGGACUUAGUGAUCCGGUGGUUCCGCAUGGAAGGGCCAUCGCUCAACGGAUAAAAGCUACCCCGGGGAUAACAGGCUUAUCUCCCCCAAGAGUUCACAUCGACGGGGAGGUUUGGC
Molecule: ribosomal RNA, 966 nt
Filed under: Staphylococcus aureus
Lineage: Bacteria; Bacillati; Bacillota; Bacilli; Caryophanales; Staphylococcaceae
Description: partial 23S ribosomal RNA
Rfam family: Bacterial large subunit ribosomal RNA
Source: RNAcentral